UUCCAUUAGUUCCAAGGCUUGCAAAGAAGGAGGAGUGCUUAGAGUUGUGCUAGCCAUUCCAUUGGAGUUGUUGGAGCAUUCUAGGUGUAUUCUACUUUGUUUCUCUAUGUUUAAUAUCAAUUGUUUUUGUUUAAUUGCAAGUAUGAGGAACUAAACCCUUACUUAGCUAGGGGGAAGUUCGAAGCCAUGAACAUGCUUGAGAUAUGAAUUGAUUUCUUCCAAUUGUGAUUUAAUAAGUUGUGAAUGCAAUUCAAUUAACUACUUUCUUCAAAACUAAUUCUUGUAUGUUGAUUAAGGAUGCAUACUUAGUUUUCAUGCAUGAAUUUGAUGCUAGGAUAUAAAUGAGUUUCACCUAAUCGUUACAAGUUUAUAUUCAUUGGUAGUGAAGGUUGCUAGUCACAAUCGCGUUAAUUGAAUUCUUGGCAAACGUAUCAUGCAUUCAUAGUUACGAAUGCCUCGUUAACACUUAUGAUUUUCAUAGAACGUAAUGAUCUUUGAUUGUAUCUCUAUUAUGCAUUCAUGUAGAGGACUUUUGGAGAAUACUUUGGAUUGUCGUAUGCAUUCAUCCAAUUCAAUAAAUCAAGGAAAAUCUGAGGAUUAAUUAGUGCAUCACGGUUAAUCUGGGGUGUUGAGUUUCAUAAUCUAUUGAAAAACAAUUGGAAAUCGAUUCAUGUACAAGUGUGUCAUGUGUGAAGAAUGGAUCUCUAGCUAAUCCAUCAACCGUAUAUUUAGUUUUACUUUUUGUUGUUAUCUCAAUCACAACCAAAACCAAUACCCCCCAUUUACUUUCUUGUAUCAAAGUGUGUUUAAGUUUGUUUUGAACUCUUUGAGUCUAGUUUAGUGUUUUAAAGCCUACUUUUGUGUUUUUAAGUUUCUUCUUAUAUUUUUGAGUCAAGUGAGAGGUUAUUAGCAAGCCCUCCUAAUCCCCGGUCCAGAACGAUCCCUACUUAUACAUAUACUACAAUUGUCAACAAGAGGGUUUAAUUUGUGUGCUUAACUUUAUUUCGCAUCAGCUUCAAUGCAGGGUAUACAAAUACCACCUCCGAACAACCGUCACUUCGACCCAUACAUGGAUUCAAUUUGAAGUCUCCAGCCAACAGACCCUAUUAACUGAAGACUUGGGGGAUUACAUUAUGUACCAUAUAUUGGGCCUCAGUUGGGCCUUAUGAAAAAUACUUGGGGGACUUAGCCUAUCACUUAUGUAUUGAGGAACGAGCCCUUAUUCUAUAAAAGGGACUCCAUCACUUUCAUUAGAGAGCACCCAUUAUUCAUGUACUGAGGAGCGAGCUCUUAUUCUAUAAAAUGGACUCCCUCACCAUCAUUAGAGAGCAUCGUCACCAGCUGAGCAACCGCUUCGCUGUGAGCAUCAACUUUAGCCCAUUAUUCAUGUACUGAUGAGCGAUCCCUUAUUCUAUAAAAAUGACUCCCUCACCAUCAUUAGAGAGCAUCGCCGCCAGCUGAGCAACCGUCUCGCCGCGAGCAUCAACUCUAGCCCAUCAUUUAUGUAUUGAGGAGCGAGUCCUUAUUCUAUAAAAGGGACUCUUUCACCAUCAUUAGAGAGCAUCGCCGCCUGCUGAGCAACCGUCUCAACGCAAGCAUCAACUCUUAGCCCAUCACUUAUGUAUUGAGGAGCGAGCCUUUAUUCUAUAAAAGGGACUCCCUCACCUUCAACGCCACAAGCCAAGCCAACCAAAGCAACAUAAGCCACAAACCGAGCAGCCUCGCAACAUGUGCUACUUUUAGUUGAGUAUGAUUUCAGAUUGAGCACCGCCUCAUAUCGAGCAUCAGUUCAAGAUAACAUCUAGUUACUUCGGCCCAAACAUGGACUGAAUUUCAAGUCUCCAGCCAAAAGACUCUCUUGACUGAAGACUUGGGGGACUACUGUUUGUACCAUACUUAGGGCCUCCGUAUUUAGAUCUCGUAUAAAUACUCGAGGGACUCAAAUGUAAUUAUGUAAUAAAAGAAUGGGCAAAUAUGUAAUAAGCGAGAAGCCCUUAUUCUAUAAAAUGACCUAUCACUCUUCUCAUUAAGGGAGACCAUUUCUUAGGCCAUGGGAAGAGCUCUCUCACCCUCAGAAGCUCUCACCCUCUCAUCCUCUCACAAACAGAGAACUAUAAUAAUCAGUGUGGACGUAGCCCAAACAUUGGGAUGAACCACGAUACAUCUUGUGUUAUUUACUUUCUUGCAGAUUCACGGUCGGAUUUACGUUGUCCCAAGACCCCUCCGGUUUUGUGCAUCAACAGAAACAAUAUGCAAUUUCCAAGACUUCUAUGUUAUUAUGAUUGCUCUGCCACUAACAUGAUGAGUCUUUUUAAGAACAUUAUCAUGCACUAAUCUUUGAUUUAGUGAGUGGAAAUCAUAAUGGUUCAUUUACCUUGAUUUAUGGUUGCUCUUAAUCUUUGUAAUGGACUUGAGAUAUAAUAUUUUUGUUUCUGGUGGAUUCCUCCUCCAUUGCUAGAUGCAUCUUAUUCAUUUUGUGUUGAAUGAAAAAGUUUGAUUCUUUUCAAAACCUUCAAGAUUUUGAACUUGGUAGCAUUGUUUAAGCGCUUAAUCAACCCUUGUUAAUGUUGAUGGAAAUUGGAAACAUAAUGAUCUAUUAUGGAAGCAUUCUUUUACUAAACUAUCUGACACAUAAAAAUGCUCUAUUCUCACAAUCACAACUUUUGUUUUCUUAAUAGACUGUAUGGCAACAUAAGCAUUUUACGUUAAGAAACUAUAUAAGAAUCAAAACUAUUGACGAAGUUAAGUCUUAUCUGAAUGUGUACUACAACUUCAAUAGGGCAACAUAUAAAUUUGACAAAAACACAAUACACAUGAUCAAGUUUGCUACAUAAACAAAAGACACGAUAAAAUUAGCUUGACGUCGAUUGGGAAAUGAUUGCACAUAUUGGUAUAUAUGAAGUUAAAGGCUCAAAAUAAAUUGCAUUGGUGGCUCAAAAUAGAUUGCAAAAACGCACAUGACAUAUUUGUAUGUAUGACAGAUUGGUAUUAACGAAAUUGGGUUGACAAUAAAUUUUAGCCCAAAUGCCCAAUAUGUCAAGUUUCAGCCUAAUAGCCCAAAAACCUAAAACUAUUUCAGAAUUCCCAAUUUGUCCUGAAAUUCCGAAACUAUUUUGGGAUUCCCUAAAUUUGGGAUUCCUCAAAUUUGGUUUGGGAUCGGUCUUGAAAUUGGAAUUUUUGAAAACUUUGGUUUGAGAAUCGGGACAUGGUUUUUGGUUCGGUAUCUCAUACCGAACCAGCCUUAUAGAAGACAUAUGUUUGUCCAUAAUGGCACCAAGCUCCUCUCUCCCCUCUUCCCAUGGCUCAUUCUACUAACCCUCUUCCUCAUUUUCCUCUACUCCUAUUCCUUCCCUUCCACACACCCUCUCUACCAACCUCUCUCUCCAAAAGAAUCCCCACUUUCCCCUUCUGCAAUUUCUUCAAAGGCCACUAGAUCCACAACCCCAACCGCAAACCCAUGUAUGAUGAG
Molecule: long non-coding RNA, 3469 nt
Filed under: Malus domestica (apple)
Lineage: Eukaryota; Viridiplantae; Streptophyta; Magnoliopsida; Rosales; Rosaceae
Description: long non-coding RNA (MDOM_LNC004390)
Source: RNAcentral